CCCUUAGAUGUCCGGGGCCGCACGCGCGCUACAAUGGAUGAAUCAACGCGUCAUCCUGGCCCGAAAGGGUUGGGGAACCGCUGAACCUCAUCCGUGGUUGGGAUUGGGGUUUGUAAUUAUUCCCCAUGAACUAGGAAUUCCCAGUAAGCGCGAGUCAUAAGCUCGCGUUGAUUACGUCCCUGCCCUUUGUACACACCGCCCGUCGCUACUACCGAUUGGAUGGUUAGUGAGAUCCUCGGAUUGGUCACGGCACGGUGGCAACACUGCGUCGGUGUGCCGAGAAGACGAUCAAACUUGAUCAUCUAGAGGAAGUAAAAGUCGUAACA
Molecule: ribosomal RNA, 326 nt
Filed under: uncultured eukaryote
Lineage: Eukaryota
Description: partial 18S ribosomal RNA
Rfam family: Eukaryotic small subunit ribosomal RNA
Source: RNAcentral